AGCCGUUCAUCAAAGUUUACAUCCAAAACAAAAACUGCCAUCAGACACGUACUUAUUCCUAUUUCCUGUUGCAAAUCUCAGAAUGAAAGAGACCCUCAAAAUGGACCUACUGGACGAUAAAACUUGAUCGUGAUGGAUCUAGAUCAGGAUCCCAUCAAAGUCUACACAAGAAAAGGAUAGGUCAUAUUCAAUCUUUUUUCUGGGAAUCUCUAGGGGUGGAUGCUCAUUUGUCAAUUUUGACCUGUCCGGACAAUUGUGAAUGGACAAAAUAACUUGAUACCCAUUGAAAACCCCAUAUUUGUCUUCCCAAUUAUCCAUUUCACCUCUUUUUUCAUUUUUUUUAACUACUCUGCCCAUUUCAUCAUCAUUUUAAUCUGACUUUAGCCUCUAUCUACUGAAGCUAGCAAAGAGUUUUGGCAUCCUGAAACAAAAAAAAUGUACACUACUUAUCUCUACUACUUAUAAAGACAUCAACAUGUUCAUUCCAACAUCCACCACACCAAAUGCACGC
Molecule: long non-coding RNA, 511 nt
Filed under: Brachypodium distachyon (stiff brome)
Lineage: Eukaryota; Viridiplantae; Streptophyta; Magnoliopsida; Poales; Poaceae
Description: long non-coding RNA (BDIS_LNC004851)
Source: RNAcentral